This 560-nucleotide ribosomal RNA is filed under the name uncultured archaeon. RNAcentral's name for it is "bacterial SSU rRNA". It matches the Rfam family "Archaeal small subunit ribosomal RNA", at positions 97 to 657 of the family's 1478-position model. The record is from RNAcentral.
CACGUGGACAACCUACCCUUGGGUUCGGCAUAAUCCUGGGAAACUGGGGAUAAUACCGGAUAGGUCACAGAUGCUGGAAUGCACUGUGGCUCAAAGCUCCGGCGCCCAAGGAUGGGUCUGCGGCCUAUCAGGGUUGUAGUGGGUGUAAUGUACCUACUAGCCUACGACGGGUACGGGUUGUGAGAGCAAGAGCCCGGAGAUGGAUUCUGAGACGCGAAUCCAGGCCCUACGGGGUGCAGCAGGCGCGAAAACUUUACAAUGCGGGAAACCGUGAUAAGGGAAUCUCGAGUGCCAGCAUAUAAUGUUGGCUGUCCAGAUGCCUAAAAAGCAUCUGUUAGCAAGGGCCGGGCAAGACCGGUGCCAGCCGCCGCGGUAACACCGGCGGCCCGAGUGGUAACCGCUAUUAUUGGGUCUAAAGGGUCUGUAGCCGGCCAGGUAAGUCCCUUGGGAAAUCUGGCAGCUCAACUGUCAGGCUGCUAGGGGAUACUGUUUGGCUUGGGACCGGGAGAGGUGAGAGGUACCUUGGGGGUAGGGGUGAAAUCUUGUGAUCCUCGGGGGAC